UUAGCUUAUCAUUUUUCCUCUCUUUCCAGGGCCUGCAUGCCAUUAAUUUAGGAGACAGUGGAUUUAUGGUGGUUAGAGAUGGAUGUACUGUUUUCAGAUCCCCUGUGCAGCAGCAUGAUUUCAAUUUCACAUAUCAACUAGAGAGUGGUAAUUCUGGUGACUUACCAAGCUCUGGAGAGGUCAGUAGUUCAGCAUGACUUCAAUUUCACAUAUCAACUAGAGAGUGGUAAUUCUGGUGACUUACCGAGCUCUGGAGAGGUCAGUAGUUCCCCCCUUUUUUUCUUAAUGUAGAACUUGUGUGGUAAUGUAGAACUUGGUUUAGAGCUUCCGUUUUUUCAAAAUCUGGACAACAUUUUUCAUACUCAAAUAAAAGAUAUUUCAGAAGCUUUUUUUAUUGUGUUGUUCUUUGUCGACUCUUCUAUGUCAUUCAGAGAGCAAAGAGUUGGGGUUCAGGUGGUGUUUUUAGAUUGUUCCCUUACUGUUUUGUACAAUAAUAUUUUUUGUUAAACAUACUA
RNAcentral lists this long non-coding RNA (515 nucleotides) under Nicotiana benthamiana. Its description in RNAcentral is "long non-coding RNA (NBEN_LNC029414)". The record is from RNAcentral. Lineage: Eukaryota; Viridiplantae; Streptophyta; Magnoliopsida; Solanales; Solanaceae.